CCCCAUUCUGUUCGGGCCGC
RNAcentral lists this microRNA (20 nucleotides) under Gallus gallus (chicken). RNAcentral describes it as "microRNA Ros-gga". The record is from RNAcentral. Lineage: Eukaryota; Metazoa; Chordata; Aves; Galliformes; Phasianidae.